RNAcentral lists this ribosomal RNA (253 nucleotides) under uncultured bacterium. Its description in RNAcentral is "partial 16S ribosomal RNA". It matches the Rfam family "Bacterial small subunit ribosomal RNA", at positions 524 to 776 of the family's 1533-position model. The record is from RNAcentral.
UACGUAGGUGGCAAGCGUUGUCCGGAUUUACUGGGCGUAAAGAGCGCGCAGGCGGUCGUUCAAGUCGCGUGUGAAAGCCCCCGGCUCAACUGGGGAGGGUCACGCGAUACUGAUCGACUCGAAGGCAGGAGAGGGUAGUGGAAUUCCCGGUGUAGUGGUGAAAUGCGUAGAUAUCGGGAGGAACAUCUGUGGCGAAGGCGGCCAUCUGGACCAGCACUGACACUGAGGCACGAAAGCGUGGGGAGCAAACAGG